This 225-nucleotide ribosomal RNA is filed under the name uncultured bacterium. RNAcentral describes it as "partial 16S ribosomal RNA". It matches the Rfam family "Bacterial small subunit ribosomal RNA", at positions 524 to 744 of the family's 1533-position model. The record is from RNAcentral.
UACGUAGGGUCCGAGCGUUGUCCGGAAUUAUUGGGCGUAAAGAGCUCGUAGGCGGUUUGUCGCGUCUGCUGUGAAAUCCCGAGGCUCAACCUCGGGCCUGCAGUGGGUACGGGCAGACUGGAGUACUGCAGGGGGAGACUGGAAUUCCUGGUGUAGCGGUGGAAUGCGCAGAUAUCAGGGAGGAACACCGGUGGGCGAAGGCGGGGUCUCUGGGCAGUAACUGAC